UCUCUCUCUCUCUCCUGCUGCAUUGUGAAGAAACUGCUUGCUUCCCUCUCACCCUCUGCAGUUUCCUGAGGCCUCCCCAGCCAUGCGGAACGGGUCUUGCUCUGUCACCCAGGCUGGAGUGCAGUGACACAAUGCUGGCUCAACCUCCUGGGCUCAAGAGAUCCUUCCACCUCGGCCUCCUGAGUAGCUGGGAUCACAGAACCUUCCACUGGCCACUCAGCGAAAGGCAGCUGAUUCAGCACCUGGAGAAGACCGGCAACAGGGCUGAGUUUCCUUGCACUGCAGAGGAGGGGAGAGGCAAGGAGUGGACAUGAGCACGGAGGAUCCAGGGCACUCCCUUGAUGGUGAUGCCCUCGAAGGGCUGCCCCGUGCCCAUUGUACAGAAUGUGGAUUCCACCCCACGCCAUGAGAGCUCUCGCGCAGGCCCAGACCACUUUAUAAGCCAUAUUUCCC
This 453-nucleotide long non-coding RNA is filed under the name Homo sapiens (human). RNAcentral's name for it is "non-protein coding LINC00958:4". Lineage: Eukaryota; Metazoa; Chordata; Mammalia; Primates; Hominidae. The record is from RNAcentral.